Hypholoma sublateritium FD-334 SS-4 is the source of this 90-nucleotide transfer RNA. It matches the Rfam family "tRNA". Rfam says of the family: Transfer RNA (tRNA) molecules are approximately 80 nucleotides in length. Their secondary structure includes four short double-helical elements and three loops (D, anti-codon, and T loops). Further hydrogen bonds mediate the characteristic L-shaped molecular structure. tRNAs have two regions of fundamental functional importance: the anti-codon, which is responsible for specific mRNA codon recognition, and the 3' end, to which the tRNAs corresponding amino acid is attached (by aminoacyl-tRNA synthetases). tRNAs cope with the degeneracy of the genetic code in two manners: having more than one tRNA (with a specific anti-codon) for a particular amino acid; and 'wobble' base-pairing, i.e. permitting non-standard base-pairing at the 3rd anti-codon position. The record is from Rfam. Lineage: Eukaryota; Fungi; Basidiomycota; Agaricomycetes; Agaricales; Strophariaceae.
GCCUGCCUAGCUCAAUCGGAUAGAGCGUCAGACUCUUACAAUUAGGCAGGGUACAUCUGAAGGCUGCGAGUUCGACCCUCGCGGUGGGCU